AGAGUUUGAUCCUGGCUCAGGACGAACGCUGGCGGCGUGCCUAAUACAUGCAAGUAGAACGCUGACUACUUUAGCUUGCUAGAGUAGAAGGAGUUGCGAACGGGUGAGUAACGCGUAGGUAACCUGCCUACUAGCGGGGGAUAACUAUUGGAAACGAUAGCUAAUAUCGCAUAACAGUGUUUAACACAUGUUAGAUGCUUGAAAGAUGCAAAUGCAUCACUAGUAGAUGGACCUGCGUUGUAUUAGCUAGUUGGUGGGGUAACGGCCUACCAAGGCGACGAUACAUAGCCGACCUGAGAGGGUGAUCGGCCACACUGGGACUGAGACACGGCCCAGACUCCUACGGGAGGCUGCAGUAGGGAAUCUUCGGCAAUGGGGGCAACCCUGACCGAGCAACGCCGCGUGAGUGAAGAAGGUUUUCGGAUCGUAAAGCUCUGUUGUUGGAGAAGAAUGGUCGGCAGAGUAACUAGUUCACACUGUGACGGUACUUAACCAGAAAGGGACGGCUAACUACGUGCCAGCAGCCGCGGUAAUACGUAGGUGGCAAGCGUUAUCCGGAUUUAUUGGGCGUAAAGCGAGCGCAGGCGGUUUGAUAAGUCUGAAGUUAAAGGCUGUGGCUCAACCAUAGUUCGCUUUGGAAACUGGGAGACUUGAGUGCAGGAGAGGAUCGUGGAAUUCCAUGUGUAGCGGUGAAAUGCGUAGAUAUAUGGAGGAACACCAGUGGCGAAGGCGACGAUCUGGCCUGUAACUGACGCUGAGGCUCGAAAGCGUGGGGAGCAAAUAGGAUUAGAUACCCUAGUAGUCCACGCCGUAAACGAUGAGUACUAGGUGUGGGGGUUUCAACACCUCCGUGCCGCCGCUAACGCAUUAAGUAUUCCGCCUGGGGAGUACGGUCGCAAGAUUAAAACUCAAAGGAAUUGACGGGGGCCCGCACAAGCAGCGGAGCAUGUGGUUUAAUUCGAAGCAACGCGAAGAACCUUACCUACACUUGACAUCCCUUGCAUUACUCUUAAUCGAGGAAAUCCCUUCGGGGACAAGGUGACAGGUGGUGCAUGGUUGUCGUCAGCUCGUGUUGUGAGAUGUUGGGUUAAGUCCCGCAACGAGCGCAACCCUUGUCGUUAGUUACUACCAUUAAGUUGAGGACUCUAGCGAGACUGCCUGGGUUAACCAGGAGGAAGGUGGGGAUGACGUCAAAUCAUCAUGCCCCUUAUGUGUAGGGCUACACACGUGCUACAAUGGCUGGUACAGAGAGAUGCAAUACCGCGAGGUGGAGCCAAACUUAAAAACCAGUCUCAGUUCGGAUUGUAGGCUGAAACUCGCCUACAUGAAGCUGGAGUUACUAGUAAUCGCGAAUCAGAAUGUCGCGGUGAAUACGUUCCCGGGUCUUGCACACACCGCCCGUCA
RNAcentral lists this ribosomal RNA (1404 nucleotides) under human gut metagenome. RNAcentral describes it as "bacterial SSU rRNA". It matches the Rfam family "Bacterial small subunit ribosomal RNA". The record is from RNAcentral.